CUUGGAUGUGCCCUCUCGUACACAUCCAAGUGGGAGUAGGAAGGCUGGUUUGCAUGGAGGAGCGGAAGCAGGGAUGGGCAUCUGUCAAGAUUAUUUUGUGGUCCUGUUGUGCGUUUUAAACUUGGGGAAAAUCACCAAGCAGGUGAUAUCUCACUCCCUGCCCUGCCUGCACGACUCACUGCGCUGCAAUACUUCUGGCAACAGGAACCUUUAGCUCAAGGGCCCUCGAGAGAGGAAAGUUGUGUGUGCGUGUGACCUUUCCCUUCUGCGGGUAAUGUGAAGUCUCACUCUGGGUCUGCUGCCUAAAUACAGGGUGUCUUCUUAAUGACUGGAGAAUCGCGUUGUCAUGAAUGAGGAGCCAGAGUUUAGCGGCACCACAGGGGAGAAGGUUUAGGCUUCCGCAAACUCGUUUGCAGGUGUUCCAAAUAUCUAAAAAAACUAAGUGUGGAGCUUCUCUGAGUGCUGCCAGCCUGGUCCCCCUUCCCCACCCUGCAGAGUCCCUGAGGAGCUCGUGGAAACCGAUGGCCUCAUUCAUCCGUGUAAUCUUUGGUCCUGCUCCUGAGUUCUGUCCUGACCACUUCGCUCUCCCAAAGAGUUGUCUGUUACUGGCUGCCACGUCCCUUGAAAUUCUGGAAAUUCUGUUGCUCGGUCCAAUGAACACAGAUCACAUUGACAGUAGACACCCAAGACUCCAAGAUGGCAUCAGUCAUGCCAGUGAAGAAGGAACUCAAGUUGCCAAACCAAGGGAGCUGCCAACCUGGAUACUGAUGUGGAAUUUCACCCCUAACGGCAUUGUUGGAGCAUUUCAAAGAGGUUACUUACCACCGGUCUCACAACCAGUACGUCAGUGUGAACAAAGGGAGCAUUGCUGGCGUUUCUAUGGUGCCGGCGGACCUGUCUUUCAACUACUGCUUUCCUUACACAGAACUCACGUGUGCCCAGCCACGCACAGACCACCGCAGAGAGUGUGGAGGGUGCACUCUGUAAUCCUGACCAUCUUUGCUCAGCACCCCUGAAUCCUUUCAUAUCCUAAUUGAGAAUUAACACCCAAUAAAGAAAUACUGGCUAAAAAACA
This 1075-nucleotide long non-coding RNA is filed under the name Felis catus (domestic cat). RNAcentral's name for it is "lncRNA (ENSFCAG00000043312.2)". The record is from RNAcentral. Lineage: Eukaryota; Metazoa; Chordata; Mammalia; Carnivora; Felidae.